This is a long non-coding RNA of Gymnodraco acuticeps, 1012 nucleotides long. RefSeq lists it as uncharacterized. The transcript has 3 exons. Lineage: Eukaryota; Metazoa; Chordata; Actinopteri; Perciformes; Bathydraconidae. The record is from RefSeq and is a predicted model, not a curated record.
AUGUUAUCAAUGCUUUGACUGAGCUGUCAAGGCUUGUCAAUAUUGAAGACAUCUCUAAUCAGACCCCUCAUCAGGUGCCAGUAAUGCAAGGAGAAAUGGGACGACCAAAAUAUGUUGUCUGUCCUCAGCAACUACAAGGCUUAAUAGAAGACUUGUCCCUACCAGUGUCGGCCAUAGCAACACUUCUGGGUGUAUCUGAGAAGACAGUCAAAAGGCGCAUGCAUGAAAAUGGCCUUUCCAUAAAACAGUCCUACAGUACCCUAACUGAUGAUGAACUAGACAAUUUGGUUCGGUCAGUUAAGGCCAGGACACCACAUGUAGGAUAUCGAAUGAUGAAAGGAAUCCUGAAGGCCAUGGGUCACCGUGUGCAAUGGAAGAGAGUGUCUUCAUCAAUGCAUCGUGUUGAUUCUGUGGGUGUACUCACAAGAAUGGAAAGGGUGGGGUGUGUUGCAAGAAGGACAUAUUCUGUUCAGGGUCCUCUGCACUUGGUACACAUCGACACAAAUCAUAAACUCAUCAGGUACGCCACACAUUUGAUGUUUACAUGCUAUUUACAAUAACGGAUAAUAGAGUACAAAUUAAAAAAGUUAUGUUUUAAAAUGCCCUGUCACAGUUGUUUGCAUAAUAGAUAACAGACACUAAAAGUGAUUUUGUGUUGUUUUUCAAAGAUAUGGUCUUGUUAUUUUUGGAGGGAUUGAUGGCUUCUCACGGAAGAUCAUGUACCUGGGUGCUGCCACUAAUAAUAAAGCAUCGACUUCACUUGACUUCUUCUUGGAGGGUGUGCAAAAGUAUGGCUUUCCAUUAAGAGUAAGAGCCGACCAAGGAGUGGAAAAUGUUGGCAUAGCGCGAUGCAUGUUCACUAUAAGGGGCUGUGGAAGGGGAAGCUUCAUGUCAGGGAAAAGUGUGCACAAUCAAAAGGUACAUUCUUUGAAGUAAUGUCAAACAAUGACAAACACAAAGCCAUCAUUUGUGAAUAUACUGUGCUUUGUCCAAUUUGAUGAUUUUUAUUUUA